CCUCUCAAGUCCUGUAUGCUGACUUCCUCUAACAAAGGGAAUAAAAUAGGAGGAUAAAGAAAGACGAGAGAGAGCGGCCUCUUUCUUGUAUUUCGCGAGGCACUACUUGUAUUCCUAGCGGACAUUCUGCCUUCAGCUCUCGUUCCUUGUGCCCUUGUUUCCCCUCUUUAUCUCUCUCUCUUCCUCCUCUACAACACUAGUCCUCGUUGGAAGCAUUCUACCAAAGACCACACACAAGUUUGUUCGUUCUCCUGCCAAAAUCUACUUGCCAAACAGCAGGAUGCAUACCAAUGGCGCCCUGCAGUACAAACUGGUCUACUUGCUAGACGAGGAGUGGGAAUGUGGUUUCUUCAGUAAUGGUGAGUAUUUGCUGAAUUCCUUAUUUGUUUCCCCACUGAUGAGCACAUGUGUGCUUUUCUGCUGUUGGACUGAGGCUC
Molecule: long non-coding RNA, 437 nt
Organism: Gasterosteus aculeatus aculeatus (three-spined stickleback)
Lineage: Eukaryota; Metazoa; Chordata; Actinopteri; Perciformes; Gasterosteidae
Source: Ensembl